RNAcentral lists this transfer RNA (72 nucleotides) under Enterococcus faecium. RNAcentral's name for it is "tRNA-Glu". It matches the Rfam family "tRNA". From Rfam's summary of the family: Transfer RNA (tRNA) molecules are approximately 80 nucleotides in length. Their secondary structure includes four short double-helical elements and three loops (D, anti-codon, and T loops). Lineage: Bacteria; Bacillati; Bacillota; Bacilli; Lactobacillales; Enterococcaceae. RNAcentral also lists the same sequence under 10 other names. The record is from RNAcentral.
GGCUUGUUGGUCAAGAAGUUAAGACGCUCGACUUUCACUCGGGAAUCACAGGUGCAAAUCCUGUACAAGUCA